Molecule: ribosomal RNA, 511 nt
Filed under: uncultured Streptococcus sp.
Lineage: Bacteria; Bacillati; Bacillota; Bacilli; Lactobacillales; Streptococcaceae
Description: partial 16S ribosomal RNA
Source: RNAcentral
CACGUAGUUAGCCGUCCCCUUUCUGGUAAGAUACCGUCACAGUGUGAACUUUCCACUCUCACACUCGUUCUUCUCUUACAACAGAGCUUUACGAUCCGAAAACCUUCUUCACUCACGCGGCGUUGCUCGGUCAGACUUCCGUCCAUUGCCGAAGAUUCCCUACUGCUGCCUCCCCGUAGGAGUCUGGGGCCGUGUCUCAGUCCCAGUGUGGCCGAUCACCCUCUCAGGUCGGCUAUGUAUCGUCGCCUUGGUGAGCCGUUACCUCACCAACUAGCUAAUACAACGCAGGUCCAUCUGGUAGUGGAGCAAUUUGCCCCUUUCAAGCAGAUAUCAUGCAAUAAUCUACUGUUAUGCGGUAUUAGCUAUCGUUUCCAAAUAGUUAUCCCCCGCUACCAGGCAGGUUACCUACGCGUUACUCACCCGUUCGCAAACUCAAUCCGGAAAGAGCAAAGCUCCUUCCUUCAGCCGUUCUACUUUGCAUGUAUUAAGGCAACGCCCGCCAGCGUUUCUA